AGGAUUUUUUUUCGAACCGAAGCUCGCUCUCUCUUCAUUACAAGCGAAACGUCUCUCCUCUUGAGGUUUUGAAGAUUCCGAAACCCUCCUCUUUUGGCGGAGGUUUCUCAUUGUUCCUUCCUAAUCAGAGGAUGGUUGUUUAUGGAGUUGAGAAGAAUUUGGAUGAGCUGAAAAUGAAAGAUCCUUGUUUGGAGAACAAACAAUCAACAGCUUCAAACUCUUCUGUUUCUGAGGGUAAUGGAAGUUUUACUACUAAAUCUCCUGGAAUAUGCAUCAGCACUAUGCCUACCUCUCCAUUACAUAGGAGGACUACUGGCCCAAUUAGAAGAGCUAAGGGGGGAUGGACUCCUGAGGAGGAUGAUACAUUGAGAAGUGCUGUUGCAGUUUUCAAGGGAAAAUGCUGGAAGAAAAUAGCUGAAUUCUUCCCUGAUAGAUCAGAAGUACAAUGUCUGCAUAGAUGGCAGAAAGUUCUCAAUCCUGACCUUGUUAAAGGACCUUGGAGAAGAGAGGAAGAUGAUAAGAUCGUUGAAAUGGUCUCAAGGUAUGGGCCUAUGAAAUGGUCUGUCAUAGCAAAAGAAUUACCAGGGCGUAUUGGAAAACAGUGCCGUGAGAGGUGGCACAAUCAUCUGAAUCCUGACAUUAAAAAAGAGGCUUGGACCCUGAAGGAAGAACUAGAACUCAUGAAUGCCCACAGAAUAUAUGGAAACAAAUGGGCUGAAAUCGCCAAAGUGCUACAUGGAAGGACUGACAAUGCAAUAAAGAAUCAUUGGAACAGUUCCUUAAAGAAGAAACUAGAUUUCUAUUUGGAAACUGGGAACCUUCCACCAGUUGCAAAAAAUGGUGACCAGAUGAGGGCAAAAGAAAUAAUAAAUAGAACCACCAGCUCAACCAGAAAAUCCAUGGAUAAAGGAUCGGAGUCAACUGCUCAAAUGUCAACUGCAACUACUACUACUAUUACUACUACUACUACUACUGCAGAGGCUAAUAAGAUGGAAGCUGAUAGUAAAAAUCAAUUUGAUUCGUGUUACGUUUCCCCAACAAAUGAAUCUCGUGAUGUAGAGAUGAUGUCAUCUGAACUAAGGAUUAUGCCGGCUUACCAUUCAUUUUUCUAUGAGCCACCCAAUUCUCUAAAUCCAAUUACAUCACCUAUGGACUACUUGACUCCCUCAAAUGUUAAAAAUGGCAAUCAUCUUCGUUUACAGAGUCCUGAAUCUAUCUUGAGAGUAGCAGCAAGAAGCUUCCCCAACACACCAUCUAUAAUAAGGAAGAGAAAGUCAAAAUUCAUAACUCCGCUUACCAACUUUUCUAAUAAGGAAGCAAUAGAGAACAUUAAUUCUUUCAUUUCUGGAUUAGAAGAUGGAAGCUCUUGUGGUACUACUACUCCACAUCAUCUUGGUAAAAGUUCUGAUGGAAUGGCAUUUAAUGCAUCUCCUCCUUAUCGGUUGAAGUCCAAAAGAACUGCUGUAAUCAAGUCAAUAGAAAAGCAACUUGAGUGCGCAUUCAACAAAGAGUGCAACAAUGAUGGUACUGUUAAACCUAUUGCCACCAUUAUGACAGGUAGCUGCUCUCCUACUGCAAAAGGUUCCUCACAAAGAUCGUAGAACACUUUCAGGUUUCGAAGGCUUGAUAUGCUGUUAAAGAUUAGGGAUUCUUAUAAGAGGCAACUUCUUUCCAACCCAGUUAAAGAAGAGGAAUUGAGGAAUGAUGGAGAGGAAGAGGAAGAGACAAUGUUCAACUCAUAACUAAGGAUUUGUUUGAGUUUUGUAGUAGAGAAGAGUAGAUGGAAGAAGAGAACACGAGAAAGCAAUGUGCAUUUAAAUGAAGGGCAUGGGAGAAAUUUCUUAGCCAAGAUAGAAUGUGCAACUCUAUUGGUAUUCAUUCUAUAAUUCAUUUAGGUUAGACAAUUGAGGUACUUAUUUUGUUUUUUUAUAAAUAUAAUUUUUAUGUUUUUAAAGAAUAUUUGAGAUAUAUAAUAUUUUCAAUUUCCACUAAA
RNA transcript from Impatiens glandulifera, 1993 nucleotides. It is a transcript of the gene named transcription factor MYB3R-3-like, with no coding region annotated. Lineage: Eukaryota; Viridiplantae; Streptophyta; Magnoliopsida; Ericales; Balsaminaceae. The transcript is spliced from 11 exons. The record is from RefSeq and is a predicted model, not a curated record.